CCCUGAUCCAGCCAUGCCGCGUGAGUGAUGAAGGCCCUAGGGUCGUAAAGCUCUUUCGCCAGAGAUGAUAAUGACAGUAUCUGGUAAAGAAACCCCGGCUAACUCCGUGCCAGCAGCCGCGGUAAUACGGAGGGGGUUAGCGUUGUUCGGAAUUACUGGGCGUAAAGCGCGCGUAGGCGGAUCGGAAAGUUGGGGGUGAAAUCCCGGGGCUCAACCCCGGAACUGCCUCCAAAACUAUCGGUCUAGAGUUCGAGAGAGGUGAGUGGAAUUCCGAGUGUAGAGGUGAAAUUCGUAGAUAUUCGGAGGAACACCAGUGGCGAAGGCGGCUCACUGGCUCGAUACUGACGCUGAGGUGCGAAAGUGUGGGGAGCAAACAGGAUUAGAUACCCUGGUAGUCCACACCGUAAACGAUGAAUGCCAGUCGUCGGGUAGCAUGCUGCUCGGUGACACACCUAACGGAUUAAGCAUUCCGCCUGGGGAGUACGGUCGCAAGAUUAAAACUCAAAUGAAUUGACGG
RNAcentral lists this ribosomal RNA (517 nucleotides) under uncultured bacterium. RNAcentral's name for it is "bacterial SSU rRNA". It matches the Rfam family "Bacterial small subunit ribosomal RNA", at positions 381 to 916 of the family's 1533-position model. The record is from RNAcentral.